This 246-nucleotide ribosomal RNA is filed under the name uncultured bacterium. RNAcentral's name for it is "partial 16S ribosomal RNA". It matches the Rfam family "Bacterial small subunit ribosomal RNA", at positions 118 to 347 of the family's 1533-position model. The record is from RNAcentral.
UGGGUAACCUGCCUCAAAGAGGGGAAUAGCCUCCCGAAAGGGAGAUUAAUACCGCAUAAUAUGUUUAAGUCGCAUGACUUUAACAUCAAAGGAUUUUUCUUUUAAGAAAUUCCACUUUGAGAUGGACCCGCGGCGCAUUAGCUAGUUGGUGAGGUAACGGCUCACCAAGGCAACGAUGCGUAGCCGACCUGAGAGGGUGAUCGGCCACAUUGGAACUGAGACACGGUCUAGACCUCCGUAGGGAGG